Lagopus leucura (white-tailed ptarmigan) is the source of this 477-nucleotide long non-coding RNA. RefSeq lists it as uncharacterized. NCBI's taxonomy places the organism in Eukaryota, Metazoa, Chordata, Aves, Galliformes, Phasianidae. The transcript has 3 exons. The record is from RefSeq and is a predicted model, not a curated record.
GAUGGCAAAUGGAUAAAUCUCACAGAUUCUCUCAUCAGAAAAAGAAUUCUCAGAUAUUUUUCUCUAUCUUCAAGAAGAAAUUAAAUAUUCUUUCACUGAGCAUCCUGUAAAUGGAAAAGGCAACACUUCUAGGAAUUGGAGUUGCAGGAAAUGGGGAAUGGAAUUUAACCUUCAAAGUCUGUAAGUUUCACUGGAUGGCUUUACAGAGGAGGUGAACAAAUCAGUGUGCUAACGUGGGUGAAGUUCAGAAGCAAGAAUAUAAUUGCAAAAUUGCAAAACCAGCAGUAUGAAGUAAGGAAUCACCAGUAGACUGAAGUCUUUCAUCUUUGAUAUUUGAUAUCUGUAAAGGCAUCUUUCACUACAGAGACUGAUGACUGUUACUACAAAUAUCCCACAGAGUAGUCGAUUGUGCCGGAAGGAGAAUAAAAUGACGUGCCAGCAGCUACGCGAGAGAGAUGAUGUGCAUUAUACUGAUUU